AUGCAAGUCGAACGGUAACACAGGGGAGCUUGCUCCCUGGGUGACGAGCGGCGGACGGGUGAGUAAUGUCUGGGAAACUGCCUGAUGGAGGGGGAUAACUACUGGAAACGGUAGCUAAUACCGCAUAACGUCGCAAGACCAAAGAGGGGGACCUUCGGGCCUCUUGCCAUCAGGUGUGCCCAGAUGGGAUUAGCUAGUAGGUGGGGUAAUGGCUCACCUAGGCGACGAUCCCUAGCUGGUCUGAGAGGACGACCAGCCACACUGGAACUGAGACACGGUCCAGACUCCUACGGGAGGCAGCAGUGGGGAAUAUUGCACAAUGGGCGCAAGCCUGAUGCAGCCAUGCCGCGUGUGUGAAGAAGGCCUUCGGGUUGUAAAGCACUUUCAGCGAGGAGGAAGGUGGUGAGCUUAAUACGCUCAUCAAUUGACGUUACUCGCAGAAGAAGCACCGGCUAACUCCGUGCCAGCAGCCGCGGUAAUACGGAGGGUGCAAGCGUUAAUCGGAAUUACUGGGCGUAAAGCGCACGCAGGCGGUUUGUUAAGUCAGAUGUGAAAUCCCCGGGCUCAACCUGGGAACUGCAUUUGAAACUGGCAAGCUAGAGUCUCGUAGAGGGGGGUAGAAUUCCAGGUGUAGCGGUGAAAUGCGUAGAGACCUGGAGGAAUACCGGUGGCGAAGGCGGCCC
RNAcentral lists this ribosomal RNA (683 nucleotides) under Serratia marcescens. Its description in RNAcentral is "bacterial SSU rRNA". It matches the Rfam family "Bacterial small subunit ribosomal RNA", at positions 55 to 727 of the family's 1533-position model. The record is from RNAcentral. Lineage: Bacteria; Pseudomonadati; Pseudomonadota; Gammaproteobacteria; Enterobacterales; Yersiniaceae.